Molecule: transfer RNA, 72 nt
Filed under: Camelus bactrianus (Bactrian camel)
Lineage: Eukaryota; Metazoa; Chordata; Mammalia; Artiodactyla; Camelidae
Also listed under: 1 other name
Rfam family: tRNA
About the family: Transfer RNA (tRNA) molecules are approximately 80 nucleotides in length. Their secondary structure includes four short double-helical elements and three loops (D, anti-codon, and T loops). Further hydrogen bonds mediate the characteristic L-shaped molecular structure. tRNAs have two regions of fundamental functional importance: the anti-codon, which is responsible for specific mRNA codon recognition, and the 3' end, to which the tRNAs corresponding amino acid is attached (by aminoacyl-tRNA synthetases). tRNAs cope with the degeneracy of the genetic code in two manners: having more than one tRNA (with a specific anti-codon) for a particular amino acid; and 'wobble' base-pairing, i.e. permitting non-standard base-pairing at the 3rd anti-codon position.
Source: Rfam by way of RNAcentral
GAGGGUAUAGCUCAGUGGUAGAGCAUGUGUUUAGCAUGCAAAAUAUCCUGGAUUCCAGCCUCAGUACCUCCA